RNAcentral lists this ribosomal RNA (165 nucleotides) under uncultured bacterium. Its description in RNAcentral is "partial 16S rRNA". It matches the Rfam family "Bacterial small subunit ribosomal RNA", at positions 355 to 511 of the family's 1533-position model. The record is from RNAcentral.
UAGGGAAUCUUCCACAAUGGACGGAAAGUCUGAUGGAGCAACGCCGCGUGAGUGAAGAAGGGUUUCGGCUCGUAAAACUCUGUUGUUAAAGAAGAACAUAUCUGAGAGUAACUGUUCAGGUAUUGACGGUAUUUAACCAGAAAGCCGCGGCUAACUACGUGCCAG